Molecule: small RNA, 222 nt
Filed under: Arabidopsis thaliana (thale cress)
Lineage: Eukaryota; Viridiplantae; Streptophyta; Magnoliopsida; Brassicales; Brassicaceae
Description: ATSL215060
Source: RNAcentral
CAUUGAUUUUCUAGAAUCCAACAUGUACAUAAAAAAAAUUAGUGGAAAUUGAUAUAUUUUUUUGGGAAAUUUGCAGAAAUAACUAACAAAAAAACUAUAAUUCACUAACUAACCAUCCUAACUAUGUAAUUAUAAUAUUCUCUGUAUUAUAUGUAAUAUUACUCAAUUUGCCCUUGUUGCCUCAAUACCUUCAGUAGCAACCACCACCGCUGGCCACCACCG